This 1125-nucleotide long non-coding RNA is filed under the name Gopherus agassizii (Agassiz's desert tortoise). RNAcentral's name for it is "lncRNA (ENSGAGG00000011958.1)". The record is from RNAcentral. Lineage: Eukaryota; Metazoa; Chordata; Testudines; Testudinidae.
GCAGAAUUCAAAGCACUGGGUAAUUGUUGCUGAAAUCUCACAAGUAGUUUCUUCUCCAUUGCAUGUCCAUGUGAGGUUAUCCAUCCAAUCUGCUUGUCGGUUACUGCACAGGUCCCUGAAAUACACAAAAAUCUUGGAAUCCAGAGAUUUCGCUGAGAAUUUUCUCUGAGCUAGUUUUGCAGAAUUGGGCCUCUCGUUUCCCAGGGCCAAAUCCUGGCUGUACCUGCACCCACAGCGCAGAGCUGGAUGGAGCUGUGCAUAAACUGGACUGUUUGAUCUCUAAAAGCCAGGGAUGUAAUUACAUGAAAAUUAAAACAUCAAGCCAACAUAACUGUACAUUGGCAAAAGAGAUGCAUCUCUUGAUUCAUCCAUCUCCCAAAUGUGGCUGCACACAGAAAGCAUUUUGGGUGGCACUUCCAGGGCCACAUGCUAACUUCACUACACAAUAUGGUAAGUUAAAAAACAUGGCAGAAUAAGUCCCAGACUUGUUGCGGGCAGAAGGGAGCACAGACGCUAUGUGGCAUGUUCUCAGACAGCAGGAAGGGUGCACCACUUGCAUUCUAUGCAUAUGAGAGAGGUCUAUGGGGAAGACGCCUGGAUGUAGAAAGGAGAACAACCUGGGAACAACUGCUCUUUUUGGCAUGUUUCUCAAUUAAAAAUUUGCACACAAGUUACUACUGAAGUAUCAGUAAAUCCCUCUUACAGGCUGGGGGGAUGGGUGUCUGUGUGAGUGAGAGAGAGAGAGAGAGAGACGGCCCCUAGGAGAGGGGUGUGUGCGUGUGUGUGUGUGAGAUGGGCCCUAGGAGAGUAGGGAUUGGGUCUCUGGACUCAUGUCUCCCAGUAUCUGUAUGGAUCUUGGAAUAUCUGACAAUUUGGGGAGCUGCCCAUUCUGUACAACACAAAGACCAUCCCUGUAACAGAAGAAACUGGAGUGUAUGGACUCUAGUUGUAUAUUAAAAAGCUUCUUAUUCUAUCAUAAUUUUUUUCAAAUUUUCAGUCUGUAACUGUAAAAUAUGAAAACUGCACUGAGAAAACUAUCAUAUUUUCCAUGAUGAAGGUUGGUGUGAUAUAGGUCAUUUUAAUCAUGUUUUAUGUCCAAAUACAUUUUGAAAUAAUUUAAAAAAU